GGGAGUUUAGCUCAGCUGGUUUAGAGCACCUGCCUUACAAGCAGGGGGUCGGAAGUUCGAAUCUCCCAACUCCCA
This 75-nucleotide transfer RNA is filed under the name Bacteroidales bacterium. RNAcentral describes it as "tRNA-Val". It matches the Rfam family "tRNA". From Rfam's summary of the family: Transfer RNA (tRNA) molecules are approximately 80 nucleotides in length. Their secondary structure includes four short double-helical elements and three loops (D, anti-codon, and T loops). Further hydrogen bonds mediate the characteristic L-shaped molecular structure. tRNAs have two regions of fundamental functional importance: the anti-codon, which is responsible for specific mRNA codon recognition, and the 3' end, to which the tRNAs corresponding amino acid is attached (by aminoacyl-tRNA synthetases). tRNAs cope with the degeneracy of the genetic code in two manners: having more than one tRNA (with a specific anti-codon) for a particular amino acid; and 'wobble' base-pairing, i.e. permitting non-standard base-pairing at the 3rd anti-codon position. Lineage: Bacteria; Pseudomonadati; Bacteroidota; Bacteroidia; Bacteroidales. The record is from RNAcentral.